CCUACGGGGGGCAGCAGUGGGGAAUAUUGCACAAUGGGCGAAAGCCUGAUGCAGCAACGCCGCGUGAGCGAUGAAGGCCUUCGGGUCGUAAAGCUCUGUCCGCAAGGAAGAUAAUGACGGUACUUGAGUAGGAAGCCCCGGCUAACUACGUGCCAGCAGCCGCGGUAAUACGUAGGGGGCGAGCGUUAUCCGGAUUUACUGGGGGAAAAGGGUGCGUAGGUGGGUUCUUAAGUCAGAGGUAAAAGGCUGGGGCUCAACCGUAGGACGCCGUUGAAAAUGGGGAACUUGAGUGCUGGAGAGGCAAGUGGAAUUCCUAGUGUAGCGGUGAAAUGCGUAGAUAUUAGGAGGAACACCAGUUGCGAAGGCGGCUUUCUGGACUGUGACUGACGCUGAGGCACGAAAGCGUGGGGAGCAAACAGGAUUAGAUACCCGAGUAGUC
RNAcentral lists this ribosomal RNA (439 nucleotides) under uncultured bacterium. Its description in RNAcentral is "partial 16S ribosomal RNA". It matches the Rfam family "Bacterial small subunit ribosomal RNA", at positions 338 to 795 of the family's 1533-position model. The record is from RNAcentral.